AGAGUUUGAUCUGGAGCCGAUGAACGCUAGCGGCAGGCCUAACACAUGCAAGUCGAGGGGGAACGAUUCCAAGCAAUUGGAAGGCGACGACCGGCGGACGGGUGAGUAACGCGUUUGUAACCUACCUCUAACUGGAAGAUAGCCCGAAGAAAUUCGGAUUAAUACUCCAUAAUACUAUGAACUGGCAUCUUUUUAUAGUCAAAGCUUUGGCGGUUAGAGAUGGGCAUGCGUGACAUUAGCUUGUUGGUGAGGUAACGGCUCACCAAGGCCACGAUGUCUAGGGGGUCUGAGAGGAUGGUCCCCCACACUGGUACUGAGACACGGACCAGACUCCUACGGGAGGCAGCAGUGAGGAAUAUUGGUCAAUGAGCGAAAGCUUGAACCAGCCAUGCCGCGUGAAGGAUGACAGCCCUACGGGUUGUAAACUUCUUUUGUACGGGAAGAAACACUCCGACGUGUCGGAGCUUGACGGUACUGUACCAAUAACCAUCGGCUAACUCCGUGCCAGCAGCCGCGGUAAUACGGAGGAUGCAAGCGUUAUCCGGAUUUAUUGCGUUUAAAGGGUACGUAGGCGGAAAAUUAAGUCAGUGGUGAAAUCCUGCAGCUUAACUGUAGAACUGUCAUUGAUACUGGUUUUCUUGAAUACAGUUGAGGUAGGCGGAAUAUGUAAUGUAGCGGUGAAAUGCUUAGAUAUUACAUAGAACACCGAUUGCGAAGGCAGCUUACUAAACUGUUAUUGACGCUGAGGUACGAAAGCGUGGGGAGCGAACAGGA
RNAcentral lists this ribosomal RNA (774 nucleotides) under uncultured bacterium. RNAcentral's name for it is "bacterial SSU rRNA". It matches the Rfam family "Bacterial small subunit ribosomal RNA", at positions 8 to 777 of the family's 1533-position model. The record is from RNAcentral.